Rattus norvegicus (Norway rat) is the source of this 1066-nucleotide long non-coding RNA. The record is from Ensembl. Lineage: Eukaryota; Metazoa; Chordata; Mammalia; Rodentia; Muridae.
AGAUAGUAGAGAGGGCAGGAUGUUCUCUUGCAUAAAGGCUAAGGCUUAAAGAAAGACAGCAGGGAAGAUCAUGAUGGUGUCUGGAGGCGCAGGGUUCACUCUUGCCUUCAAGGACAGGACCACACAGACCGGGUUGAGAAUGCUUCUGCUCAAAAGAACCAUGGAGCCAGGGAGAGAGUCAUGUAUCAGGGCACAGACAAUGAUUUAGCAGAUGAACAAGCUGGUGCCUUCUCUGAAUGAAGGGGACCCUUGGUUGUCCUUGCUUUUCUGUCUACAUAUAAAAGUUCUGCCACACCCCUUCAGGUAUUGGACCUGCUGUCUGUGAGGUAUGCAUACUUCAGUCCUUAUUCUAAAUUGGAUGAACAAAAGAACACCCUGUGUAGCUUUCUGGAAACAUGGAUGGACAAGAACCCUGAGGACUUUUGUGACCCAUCAAACCUGUUACCUCUGUAAUACCUGAAGUCCUACUUGAGUGUGUACACGCCCAACUCUGACCUUAUUGUCCCUGUCAAGAGGCUCCCGACCCAGUUGCAGCAAGAACAUGCCAGGGAUUCACAGGGCAAGAAUGACAGAUUCAUAUCUGGGGAGACACACAUCCUCAGAACCACAGAUUGAAUGGGUAUAAAUCAGCAAAGAAAAGAAUCACUCUGGAGCCAGAACCAACUUGUGCCCCAGAGCUGGAGGGCACAUAAACCUCCAGAAGGUUCUGGGGUUUAUGAGUAGUUGCCUGCCAUAUGUGGCAGCAGCAGUUCAGCCAGCACAGCUGAUAGCAGCUGUGGAAACUGUGUCUCCUUGUGUCUGUAGAUUUCAGUCAUCUCCUGCUUGCUACAGUGGGCCUGCCUAUUUAGAGAAUGGCCCUCUCACCUCUCCUCAUCAAAUUGAGUCUCUCCUGUAUCUGAGCUGCUGCUCCUGUCCCUUAUGAUCAGCUGCUUAUUUCAAUCCAGCAGCAGUUCCAACCCCACAGCCAGCCUACCCCUCCCCUGAGAAAGAGCCAUUUUAGGCAUUCUGAUGUUUUCAAUGUUGUGUUUAUUUUAAGUAUUGGUCUUAAUAAAUUGUUAGUAUUUGG